CUCCCCUCUCUUUCCUGUUCAG
This 22-nucleotide microRNA is filed under the name Homo sapiens (human). RNAcentral's name for it is "hsa-miR-6826-3p". The record is from miRBase by way of RNAcentral. Lineage: Eukaryota; Metazoa; Chordata; Mammalia; Primates; Hominidae.